AUUAAUUGCUAGGGGAGGCUAGGGAUAGCAAGCCAGUAAUUAGUAAUAGACUCUUUUCGCCGAGGGAUCGGGUUAAGGGUAGACUAAGAAAGUUGCAUCACAAUUAGUUAAUCAAGCAAAUAAAUCAAGAGGAGUAAAUAAGAGAGCGGAUAAGAUGAAAUUGUAAACCCCCAACAACUCCAUUCAUCCAUUGUUUUCUUCUCGUUAAUUGAAUCAAUCUAUGUUGCAUGUUUAUAUUUUG
This 241-nucleotide long non-coding RNA is filed under the name Vigna radiata. Its description in RNAcentral is "long non-coding RNA (VRAD_LNC012829)". Lineage: Eukaryota; Viridiplantae; Streptophyta; Magnoliopsida; Fabales; Fabaceae. The record is from RNAcentral.